ACAUUUUUCUAGAAUUAUUUGCUCCCCGCUUACUUAUGCUAAUAUCUAGUCCAAUUUUAUGACAUUGAAAUUUGGCAAUAGUAACAUAGGCGCACCACUUCAAUUUGGCUAAAAAAAACAAAGAAAGAGGGGGUAAAGUCAAAUAAAUAGUCUUCUUCAAAAUAAAUCUACCUAUUAUGACUCGGAAUGCCGUACAAGGAAUUCUGUAGAAAAAAGGAUUCGAUUGA
RNAcentral lists this long non-coding RNA (227 nucleotides) under Olea europaea subsp. europaea. The record is from RNAcentral. Lineage: Eukaryota; Viridiplantae; Streptophyta; Magnoliopsida; Lamiales; Oleaceae.